This 655-nucleotide ribosomal RNA is filed under the name uncultured fungus. RNAcentral describes it as "eukaryotic LSU rRNA". It matches the Rfam family "Eukaryotic large subunit ribosomal RNA", at positions 24 to 664 of the family's 3401-position model. The record is from RNAcentral. Lineage: Eukaryota; Fungi.
CCCGCUGAACUUAAGCAUAUCAAUAAGCGGAGGAAAAGAAACUAACAAGGAUUCCCCUAGUAACUGCGAGUGAAGCGGGAAAAGCUCAAAUUUAAGAUCUGGCUGUGUAUGCAGUCCGAGUUGUAAUUUAGAGAAGUAUUAUCCGCGCUAGCCUGUACACAAGUCUCUUGGAAUAGAGCGUCAUAGAGGGUGAGAAUCCCGUCUUUGGUACAGACCCUAGGGCAUUGUGAUGUGCUCUCGAAGAGUCGAGUUGUUUGGGAAUGCAGCUCAAAAUGGGUGGUAAAUUCCAUCUAAAGCUAAAUAUUGGGGAGAGACCGAUAGCGAACAAGUACCGUGAGGGAAAGAUGAAAAGAACUUUGGAAAGAGAGUUAAACAGUACGUGAAAUUGCUGAAAGGGAAACGCUUGAAGUCAGUCGCGAUGGGCGGGACUCAGCCAUGCUUUUGUGUGGUGUACUUCCUGUUCAUUGGGUCAACAUCAGUUUUGGUCAGUGGAAAAAGGUUCAGGGAAUGUGGCUCUUUCGGGAGUGUUAUAGCCUUGGGUCAUAUACAUUGACUGGGACUGAGGAACUCAGCACGCCGCAAGGCCGGGUUUUUAACCACGUUCGUGCUUAGGAUGUUGGCAUAAUGGCUUUAAUCGACCCGUCUUGAAACACGG